Molecule: unclassified non-coding RNA, 302 nt
Filed under: Hevea brasiliensis (rubber tree)
Lineage: Eukaryota; Viridiplantae; Streptophyta; Magnoliopsida; Malpighiales; Euphorbiaceae
Source: RNAcentral
UUUCAGGUUGGAAAAUGAGCACUUAAAUAAUGUUGGGAAAUAUCGUGCCUCCAAGUCUGUACCCCUGCCUUUCAACUACGACGAAGACAAGAGCAUGUAAAAGGAAAAUCACCAGAGUAGUCGAGACGCAAAAAUGAUCUUCUUUUUUCCUGUUGUCUUGUAUAAUUCUUUGAUUCAUGUGUCAACGGUGCUUGUAAUGAAGUUCUGUUCAUGAAUGUAUAGGAUGAAAAGAAAGCUGAUUGAUGGAUGGAAUUAUUUUCACGAAAUAGUGCUUAGGAAAGUGAUUGAUGUAUGAAAUAAAG